UACGAAGGUCCCGAGCGUUAUCCGGAUUUAUUGGGCUUAAAGGGUGCGUAGGCGGGGUAUUAAGUCAGUGGUGAAAGCCUUCAGCUCAACUGAAGAACUGCCAUUGAUACUGAUGAUCUUGAGUACGAUUGAGGUAGGCGGAAUGUGUCAUGUAGCGGUGAAAUGCUUAGAUAUGACACAGAACACCGAUUGCGAAGGCAGCUUACUAAGUCGUAACUGACGCUGAUGCACGAAAGCGUGGGGAGCAAACAGG
RNAcentral lists this ribosomal RNA (253 nucleotides) under uncultured bacterium. RNAcentral describes it as "partial 16S ribosomal RNA". It matches the Rfam family "Bacterial small subunit ribosomal RNA", at positions 524 to 776 of the family's 1533-position model. The record is from RNAcentral.